CCUAUGGGGGGCAGCAGGCGCGCAAACUUUACAAUGCGAGCAAUCGUGAUAAGGAAACCCUGAGUGCCUGUCGAUGCAGGCUGUUCAUAUAUCUAAAUCAUAUGUGAAGAAAGGGCAGGGCAAGACCGGUGCCAGCCGCCGCGGUAAUACCGGCUGCUCGAGUGAUGGCCACUAUUACUGGGUUUAAAGCGUCCGUAGCUUGACUGUUAGGUCUCUUGGGAAAUCUUCACGCUCAACGUGAAGGCGUCUAAGAGAUACCGGCAGUCUUGGAACUGGGAGAGGUAAACCGUACUUCGGGGGUAGGAGUGAAAUCUUGUAAUCCUCGAGGGACGACCUAUGGCGAAGGCAGUUUACCAGAACAGCUUCGACAGUGAGGGACGAAAGCUGGGGGAGCAAACGGGAUUAGAUACCCCCGUAGUCC
This 421-nucleotide ribosomal RNA is filed under the name uncultured Methanocorpusculum sp. RNAcentral's name for it is "bacterial SSU rRNA". It matches the Rfam family "Archaeal small subunit ribosomal RNA", at positions 322 to 747 of the family's 1478-position model. The record is from RNAcentral. Lineage: Archaea; Methanobacteriati; Methanobacteriota; Methanomicrobia; Methanomicrobiales; Methanocorpusculaceae.